RNAcentral lists this ribosomal RNA (503 nucleotides) under uncultured bacterium. RNAcentral describes it as "partial 16S ribosomal RNA". It matches the Rfam family "Bacterial small subunit ribosomal RNA", at positions 30 to 523 of the family's 1533-position model. The record is from RNAcentral.
AUUGAACGCUGGCGGCAGGCUUAACACAUGCAAGUCGAGCGGGGUGAUGGUGCUUGCACUAUCACUUAGCGGCGGACGGGUGAGUAAUGCUUAGGAAUCUGCCUAUUAGUGGGGGACAACAUCUCGAAAGGGAUGCUAAUACCGCAUACGUCCUACGGGAGAAAGCAGGGGAUCACUUGUGACCUUGCGCUAAUAGAUGAGCCUAAGUCGGAUUAGCUAGUUGGUGGGGUAAAGGCCUACCAAGGCGACGAUCUGUAGCGGGUCUGAGAGGAUGAUCCGCCACACUGGGACUGGGACACGGCCCAGACUCCUACGGGGGGUAGCAGUGGGGAAUAUUGGACAAUGGGGGGAACCCUGAUCCAGCCAUGCCGCGUGUGUGAAGAAGGCCUUAUGGUUGUAAAGCACUUUAAGCGAGGAGGAGGCUCUUUUGGUUAAUACCCAAGAUGAGUGGACGUUACUCGCAGAAUAAGCACCGGCUAACUCUGUGCCAGCCGCCGCAGUAA